UGCAAGUUAGCACUGCGCCUCCACCCUGCCAACAAGAGAGAACCGGGAGGAAGGCGCUGAGGAAAUCAUCGAGGAGAAAACCCCGCGGUGACGACAGCAGCCCGGAGAGAGACAGACCAUCGAGCAAGAGCAGGAACACAGAAAUCAUCCAGACAUCAAAAAAGACUACGAUCCGUGUGGCCGAAAUAAAACCCGG
This is a long non-coding RNA of Trematomus bernacchii (emerald rockcod), 196 nucleotides long. RefSeq lists it as uncharacterized. The record is from RefSeq and is a predicted model, not a curated record. The transcript has 3 exons. NCBI's taxonomy places the organism in Eukaryota, Metazoa, Chordata, Actinopteri, Perciformes, Nototheniidae.